CGCGAAUAGCUCAUUACAACAGCCGUGUUUCUUGGAUCUCCGAACUUACUUGGAUAACUGUGGUAAUUCUAGAGCUAAUACACGCAAUCGAGCUCCGACCUUGCGGGACGAGCGCAUUUAUUAGAACAAAACCAAUCAGUGCUUGCACUGUGGUUUAGUGAAUUUGGAUAACUGAGCAGAUCGCUUCGGUCUCAGCACCGGCGAUGUAUCCUUCAAGUGUCUGCCUUAUCAACUUUCGACGGUAGUUUAUGUGCCUACCGUGAUUGUAACGGGUAACGGAGAAUUAGGGUUCGACUCCGGAGAGGGAGCCUGAGAAACGGCUACCACUUCUAAGGAAGGCAGCAGGCGCGCAAAUUACCCACUCCCGGCACGGGGAGGUAGUGACAAAAGAUAACGAGAUGGUUCUCUUAUGAGUACCAUCAUCGGAAUGAGAACAAUCCAAACCCUUUAACGAGGACCUAGCGGAGGGCAAGUCUGGUGCCAGCAGCCGCGGUAAUUCCAGCUCCGCCAGUGUAUAUCUAUGUUGCUGUAGUUAAAAAGCUCGUAGUUGGAUCUGCGUGCUAGAAGCCGGUCCGCCCUUUGGGUGUGCACUGGACUUCAGCACUGAAUCGGCAGUUUUCUCUUGAUGCCCUUCACCGGGUGUCCUGAGUGACUGGCAGUUUUACUUUGAAAAAAUUAGAGUGCUUAAAACAGGCGUUUCGCUUGAAUAUUUGUGCAUGGAAUAAUAGAAUAGGACCUUGGUUCUAUUUUGUUGGUUUUCGGAACACAAGGUAAUGAUUAAGAGGGACAGACGGGGGCAUUCGUAUUGCGACGUUAGAGGUGAAAUUCUUGGAUCGUCGCAAGACGCACUACUGCGAAAGCAUUUGCCAAGAAUGUUUUCAUUAAUCAAGAACGAAAGUUAGAGGUUCGAAGGCGAUCAGAUACCGGCCC
This 930-nucleotide ribosomal RNA is filed under the name Nematoda environmental sample. Its description in RNAcentral is "bacterial SSU rRNA". It matches the Rfam family "Eukaryotic small subunit ribosomal RNA", at positions 88 to 1021 of the family's 1831-position model. The record is from RNAcentral. Lineage: Eukaryota; Metazoa; Nematoda.